Molecule: unclassified non-coding RNA, 1138 nt
Filed under: Hevea brasiliensis (rubber tree)
Lineage: Eukaryota; Viridiplantae; Streptophyta; Magnoliopsida; Malpighiales; Euphorbiaceae
Source: RNAcentral
GAAGGUCUAACCUGAUAAUCCGCUAUGAAAGCUUUUCUCUGGCGAACCGAUUCCGUCCCUGUACAUGCACCGGUUCAUCCCGAUUCGCCCAAAUUCUCUCUCUCCCGUCGCAAUUCAGUUUCCGGCAUCUUUUCUGGCGAGAAUCACAACGUGAUUUCCCCCAGAAUCUCCCUGCAUUUGGAGAUCAACCGCCACAGGGACACUCCUAUUGGACUAACCUUGUCGGAAACUGAACUCAUGGGAUCGGAAACAGAAUUGUUCGGUACGUUGACGAAGCUUUCUGGAUCUGGUUCUCUGUCCUACCAGGCGAUGAUACCGGAAGAGGAGCAGCAUUUUUUAGGAUCUGACCUGCAUGGCUGUGGAUCUACGACUUUGAAUGACGCCGGAUUCUGGCCAGAUAGCCGUAUUCCGUUGAAGAAGCUAGGUUUCACCGGAGACGGAUUCGGGAAAGGAAAGAAAUACGGAGGAGGGAAUGGCGGCAAUGAUGACGACUGGCGGUCAGACUUAAUCAAGAUGGGUGAUUAUUAUAAAGAAAUGUUAAAGUCAAACCCUAGCGAUUCGCUGCUUCUGAGAAACUAUGGCAAAUUCUUGCAUGAGGUGGAGGGAGAGAGAGAGAGAGCUGAAGAGUACUAUGCGAGAGCGAUUCUGGCGAGUCCAGGAGAUGGAGAGGUUUUGUCUCUGUACGGGAAGUUGAUAUGGGACUCACACAGAGAUGGAGAGAGAGCUCAAGCUUAUUUUGAUCAAGCUGUUUCUGCCUCUCCAAAUGAUUGCAUGGUGUUGGGAUCAUAUGCCCAUUUUAUGUGGGAAGCGGAAGAAGAUGAUGAAGAAGUCAAUGGGUGUGCUGAAGCUUCACCAGCAUUGGUAGCUGCUCUCUAGCGAUUGACCCUUCAAUCUUUAAUACUCAAUCCUUUUUAGGCAAUAUUACUAACUUCAAUAACAAUAUAAUAAGAAAACCAGAAUAAUAUAUUAUAAUAUAAUAUUUCUGGGUAUUUUACUUGCUUUUUUGUAAUGUUAUUAUCAUGUAUAUUGUCUUGUUUAAUUAUUUCCUCUUACAUUUUUGAUCUUGUACUAUUACUAUAAUGUAUAUCAUAAAAGUCUUAGUAGGAGAUAUUUAUAAUAUUAAGAUUUUUUUUUGGGA